Molecule: ribosomal RNA, 250 nt
Filed under: uncultured bacterium
Lineage: Bacteria
Description: partial 16S ribosomal RNA
Rfam family: Bacterial small subunit ribosomal RNA
Source: RNAcentral
UACAGAGGGGGCAAGCGUUGUUCGGAAUUACUGGGCGUAAAGGGCGCGUAGGCGGCCUUCUAAGUCGAACGUGAAAUCCCCGGGCUCAACCCGGGAACUGCGUCCGAUACUGGCAGGCUUGAGUGUGAGAGAGGAUCGUGGAAUUCCUGGUGUAGCGGUGAAAUGCGUAGAUAUCAGGAGGAACACCGGUGGCGAAGGCGGCGAUCUGGAUCAUAACUGACGCUGAGGCGCGAAAGCGUGGGUAGCAAAC